CGAAACUCGUUACAGAGCCC
This 20-nucleotide small nuclear RNA is filed under the name Arabidopsis thaliana (thale cress). Its description in RNAcentral is "snRNA_18506". Lineage: Eukaryota; Viridiplantae; Streptophyta; Magnoliopsida; Brassicales; Brassicaceae. The record is from RNAcentral.